GUGAGGCGGAGCUAAUCCCUUAAAGCCAUUCUCAGUUCGGAUUGUAGGCUGAAACUCGCCUACAUGAAGCUGGAGUUACUAGUAAUCGCAGAUCAGAAUGCUGCGGUGAAUGCGUUCCCGGGUCUUGUACACACCGCCCGUCACACCAUGAGAGUUGGGAAUACCCGAAGCCUGUGAGCUAACGCAAGAGGCAGCAGUCGAAGGUAGAAUCAAUGAUUGGGGUGAAGUCGUAACAAGGUACC
This 242-nucleotide ribosomal RNA is filed under the name uncultured bacterium. Its description in RNAcentral is "partial 16S ribosomal RNA". It matches the Rfam family "Bacterial small subunit ribosomal RNA", at positions 1257 to 1500 of the family's 1533-position model. The record is from RNAcentral.